CAGUAGCCGCGGUAAUACGUAGGUGGCAAGCGUUGUCCGGAAUUAUUGGGCGUAAAGGGCUCGCAGGCGGUUUCUUAAGUCUGAUGUGAAAGCCCCCGGCUCAACCGGGGAGGGUCAUUGGAAACUGGGAAACUUGAGUGCAGAAGAGGAGAGUGGAAUUCCACGUGUAGCGGUGAAAUGCGUAGAGAUGUGGAGGAACACCAGUGGCGAAGGCGACUCUCUGGUCUGUAACUGACGCUGAGGAGCGAAAGCGUGGGGAGCGAACAGGAUUAGAGACCCGUGUAGUCCCUGUCUCUUAUCA
Molecule: ribosomal RNA, 301 nt
Filed under: uncultured bacterium
Lineage: Bacteria
Description: partial 16S ribosomal RNA
Rfam family: Bacterial small subunit ribosomal RNA
Source: RNAcentral